GACGAACCACCCAAACGUUAUUCGGAAUCACUGGGCUUAAAGCGUGCGUAGGCGGCCUUGAAAGUUAGGUGUGAAAUCCCACAGCUCAACCGUGGAACUGCGCUUAAAACUACAAGGCUAGAGGGAUAUAGAGGUGAGCAGAACAGAUGGUGGAGCGGUGAAAUGCGUUGAUAUCAUCUGGAAUACCGGAGGCGAAGGCGGCUCACUGGGUAUCUUCUGACGCUGAGGUACGAAAGCUAGGGGAGCGAACGGG
This 253-nucleotide ribosomal RNA is filed under the name uncultured bacterium. Its description in RNAcentral is "partial 16S ribosomal RNA". It matches the Rfam family "Bacterial small subunit ribosomal RNA", at positions 524 to 776 of the family's 1533-position model. The record is from RNAcentral.